CCUACGGGGGGCAGCAGUGAGGGAUAUUGGUCAAUGGGGGAAACCCUGAACCAGCAACGCCGCGUGAGGGAAGACGGUUUUCGGAUUGUAAACCUCUGUCCUCUGUGAAGAUAAUGACGGUAGCAGAGGAGGAAGCUCCGGCUAACUACGUGCCAGCAGCCGCGGUAAUACGUAGGGAGCGAGCGUUGUCCGGAUUUACUGGGUGUAAAGGGUGCGUAGGCGGCCCUGCAAGUCAGAAGUGAAAUCCAUGGGCUUAACCCGUGAACUGCUUUUGAAACUGCAGGACUUGAGUGGAGUAGAGGUAG
Molecule: ribosomal RNA, 305 nt
Filed under: uncultured bacterium
Lineage: Bacteria
Description: bacterial SSU rRNA
Rfam family: Bacterial small subunit ribosomal RNA
Source: RNAcentral